ACGAACGCUGGCGGCGUGCUUAACACAUGCAAGUCGAACGGAAAGGCCCUGCUUUUGUGGGGUGCUCGAGUGGCGAACGGGUGAGUAACACGUGAGUAACCUGCCCUUGACUUUGGGAUAACUUCAGGAAACUGGGGCUAAUACCGGAUAGGAGCUCCUGCUGCAUGGUGGGGAUUGGAAAGUUUCGGCGGUUGGGGAUGGACUCGCGGCUUAUCAGCUUGUUGGUGGGGUAGUGGCUUACCAAGGCUUUGACGGGUAGCCGGCCUGAGAGGGUGACCGGCCACAUUGGGACUGAGAUACGGCCCAGACUCCUACGGGAGGCAGCAGUGGGGAAUAUUGCACAAUGGGCGGAAGCCUGAUGCAGCAACGCCGCGUGCGGGAUGAAGGCCUUCGGGUUGUAAACCGCUUUCGCCUGUGACGAAGCGUGAGUGACGGUAAUGGGUAAAGAAGCACCGGCUAACUACGUG
This 467-nucleotide ribosomal RNA is filed under the name uncultured bacterium. Its description in RNAcentral is "partial 16S ribosomal RNA". It matches the Rfam family "Bacterial small subunit ribosomal RNA", at positions 29 to 507 of the family's 1533-position model. The record is from RNAcentral.